GAUGAACGCUGGCGGCGUGCCUAAUACAUGCAAGUCGAGCGAACAGAUGAGGAGCUUGCUCCUCUGACGUUAGCGGCGGACGGGUGAGUAACACGUGGAUAACCUACCUAUAAGACUGGGAUAACUUCGGGAAACCGGAGCUAAUACCGGAUAAUAUAUUGAACCGCAUGGUUCAAUAGUGAAAGACGGUUUUGCUGUCACUUAUAGCUGGCUCCGCGCCGCAUUAGUUAGUUGGUAAGGUAACGGCUUAGCAAGGCAACGAUGCGUAACCGACCUGAGAGGGUGAUCGGCCACCCUGGAAGUGAGCAAGGUCCCCGACUCCGACGGGAGGCAGCAGUAGGGAAUCUUCCGCAAUGGGCGAAAGCCUGACGGAGCAACGCCGCGUGAGUGAUGAAGGUCUUCGGAUCGUAAAACUCUGUUAUUAGGGAAGAACAAAUGUGUAAGUAACUAUGCACGUCUUGACGGUACCUAGUCAGAAAGCCACGGCUAACUACGUG
This 497-nucleotide ribosomal RNA is filed under the name uncultured bacterium. RNAcentral's name for it is "partial 16S ribosomal RNA". It matches the Rfam family "Bacterial small subunit ribosomal RNA", at positions 28 to 507 of the family's 1533-position model. The record is from RNAcentral.